UACGUAGGGGGCAAGCGUUGUCCGGAAUCAUUGGGCGUAAAGCGCGUGUAGGCGGCCUGGUAGGUCAGUUGUGAAAACUCGAGGCUCAACCUCGAGACGCCGAUUGAAACCAUCAGGCUAGAGUCCGGAAGAGGAGAGUGGAAUUCCCGGUGUAGCGGUGAAAUGCGCAGAUAUCGGGAAGAACACCCGUGGCUAAGGCGGCUCUCUAGUACGGUACUGACGCUGAGACGCGAAAGCGUGGGGAGCGAACAGG
Molecule: ribosomal RNA, 253 nt
Filed under: uncultured bacterium
Lineage: Bacteria
Description: partial 16S ribosomal RNA
Rfam family: Bacterial small subunit ribosomal RNA
Source: RNAcentral